GGAGGAAAAGAAACCAACAGGGAUUGCCUUAGUAGCGGCGAGUGAAGCGGCAAAAGCUCAAAUUUGAAAUCUGGCUCUUUCAGAGUCCGAGUUGUAAUUUGAAGAAGGUAUCUUUGGGUCUGGCUCUCGUCUAUGUUUCUUGGAACAGAACGUCACAGAGGGUGAGAAUCCCGUGCGAUGAGAUGAUCCAGGCCUAUGUAAAGUUCCUUCGAAGAGUCGAGUUGUUUGGGAAUGCAGCUCUAAGUGGGUGGUAAAUUCCAUCUAAAGCUAAAUAUUGGCGAGAGACCGAUAGCGAACAAGUACAGUGAUGGAAAGAUGAAAAGAACUUUGAAAAGAGAGUGAAAAAGUACGUGAAAUUGUUGAAAGGGAAGGGCUUGAGAUCAGACUUGGUAUUUUGUAUGUUACUUCUUCGGGGGUGGCCUCUACAGUUUAUCGGGCCAGCAUCAGUUUGGGCGGUAGGAGAAUUGCGUUGGAAUGUGGCACGGCUUCGGUUGUGUGUUAUAGCCUUCGUCGAUACUGCCAGCCUAGACUGAGGACUGC
Molecule: ribosomal RNA, 540 nt
Filed under: Candida tropicalis
Lineage: Eukaryota; Fungi; Ascomycota; Pichiomycetes; Serinales; Debaryomycetaceae
Description: partial large subunit ribosomal RNA
Rfam family: Eukaryotic large subunit ribosomal RNA
Source: RNAcentral